Molecule: small RNA, 282 nt
Filed under: Pongo abelii (Sumatran orangutan)
Lineage: Eukaryota; Metazoa; Chordata; Mammalia; Primates; Hominidae
Description: retained intron
Source: RNAcentral
CGAAUGGACUGACGCAGACCCCUCCCCACUCCUCGCCAGGGGCAGCUUGGUGGCUGCCGAGUGGAGGCCGGAAGAGGGCUUCGUGGAGUUGAAGUCUCCCGCGGGCAAAUUCUGGCAGACCAUGGGCUUCUCGGAGCAGGGCCGGCAGCGGCUUCACCCGGAAGAGGCCUUGUAUCUUCUGGAGUGUGGCUCCAUCCACCUCUUCCACCAAGACCUGCCACUGUCUAUCCAGGAAGCUUACCAGCUGCUGCUGACCGACCACACUGUGAGCUUCCUGCAGUA